Molecule: ribosomal RNA, 492 nt
Filed under: uncultured bacterium
Lineage: Bacteria
Description: partial 16S ribosomal RNA
Rfam family: Bacterial small subunit ribosomal RNA
Source: RNAcentral
AGUGAACGCUGGCGGUAGGCCUAACACAUGCAAGUCGAACGGCAGCACAGUAAGAGCUUGCUCUUACGGGUGGCGAGUGGCGGACGGGUGAGGAAUACAUCGGAAUCUACUUUUUCGUGGGGGAUAACGUAGGGAAACUUACGCUAAUACCGCAUACGACCUACGGGUGAAAGCAGGGGAUCUUCGGACCUUGCGCGAUUGAAUGAGCCGAUGUCGGAUUAGCUAGUUGGCGGGGUAAAGGCCCACCAAGGCGACGAUCCGUAGCUGGUCUGAGAGGAUGAUCAGCCACACUGGAACUGAGACACGGUCCAGACUCCUACGGGAGGCAGCAGUGGGGAAUAUUGGACAAUGGGAGCAAGCCUGAUCCAGCCAUACCGCGUGGGUGAAGAAGGCCUUAGGGUUGUAAAGCCCUUUUGUUGGGAAAGAAAAGCAGCAGGUUAAUACCCCGCUGUUCUGACGGUACCCAAAGAAUAAGCACCGGCUAACUUCGUG